UUAUUUUUCCUUAUACAAUUAAUAAGCCACUAAUUCUAAAAGUAACACCCUUCCCUUCCGAUAAUUAACUUCCACGACUCUUUACAACUGAUGGCGUGGAAAAAAAAAAGAAUUACAAUUAUAUUUUUUGGCGGCAUCUCUUCACAACCACGAUCGAAGCACCACUCCCAAUUCCCAUAUUCCACAAUAAAUACUCCUUCCUCUCAUAUUUUCAAUAUAAUUUGCUCUACAAUUUCUAAUUUCCUCUUGUCAUGUUCUAUUCGCCGCAGAAAUCAGAAGUUCUAGCAAGAGAGAAAGAGAGAAUGGAAGCUAACUACCUCAAUCACACGCCAUGAGUUCCAGCAGCGCGCUUUCUUCCGGCGAUGAGAGAAGCGUCUCAAAGUAUAUGUCCACGAUAACGUUUACGGAAACAUCUCUAGAUCUUAUAACUCUUAUGUUUUCGUGGAUAUUUUAAUUCUUGUUUCUAAUCGCAUUUGAGAGUCUUUAUUUUUAUUUAUCUAAUGUCUAGAUUCCAAAUGGUGUUCACUUUUGAGAGAUGCGGAUCAUAUAUGCCAUGUAUUGCAAUACGACGAGUCGAUGAAGAUGGUGAAGCUAAACCACAAAAAAUUGGAGUGAAGAUCUUGAAGUGCUUGGUUUAUCUUCAAGACACAUAAUAGAUUUUUGGCACCUUAGUUAUUUAAAUAUUUUGAAAUGUUUGUAAUUGGCAUAUUAUUUUGAUUUUAUGUAAUAUUAUUUGAUAAAAUUUCUAUGCUACAAUCGUGUUAGAUGCAUUUUCAUGUGUUUUUUGUAUUUAUAUUUGAUCUUUGAUAUCAC
Molecule: long non-coding RNA, 813 nt
Filed under: Salvia miltiorrhiza (redroot sage)
Lineage: Eukaryota; Viridiplantae; Streptophyta; Magnoliopsida; Lamiales; Lamiaceae
Description: long non-coding RNA (SMIL_LNC001190)
Source: RNAcentral